This 700-nucleotide long non-coding RNA is filed under the name Marmota monax (woodchuck). The record is from RNAcentral. Lineage: Eukaryota; Metazoa; Chordata; Mammalia; Rodentia; Sciuridae.
CACACAGUUACCCUGCGAUCAGUGCUCCUAGUGAUCAUCUUCACAUGGUGAGCAUGUGUUAUUUCCAAGGGGACUAACCCUAGGAAUAUUGGAGGGGUACUGUAUAAAUUUGAACAAGUAAUUGUUCUUUCCCAGAUUUUUAAGGAAGUGACUGAUGGAGGUUCUGCCACCAUGUAGCAGUCUAGAAGCAAGUUUGUUUACUUGCUGAUUCAAAAAUAGGGUCCACUUCCUCUUUUCGAAGGCUCCAGAUAAUCUGUGUUCUGUAUAUAACUAAGAACAACACCUGGUAAAGACUGAAAAUUCAAAAUGGAUCAUUGUGUUCCAUUUAUCAUAACUUGUAACUUUAUCAUAGAAUGUAAAAAGGGGGAUUAUGACAAUUAAUAUUUUACCCUCUGUUCACUGCUAUUCCUAAAUAUCUUAAGUUUCUUAGGGUGUGUGUGCGCAUGUAUUUUUUGGGGGUGGAGAGACUGGUGAUUGAACUCGGGCUGCUACUCUUUCACUGAGUUAUAUCCCCAGCCCUUUUAUCUAUCUAUCUAUCUAUCUAUCUAUCUAUCUAUCUAUCUAUCGACAGGGUCUCACUCAAUUGACCAGUCUAACCUUGAACGUGCAAUCCUCCUGCAGUCUCCUGAAAAACUGGGAUUACAGUCAUGUGCCUUGCCUAGUUCAUAGGGUUUAAAUGUGAUGAGAUUUCUUUAAAAAU